CUGGCGUAUUCCCCACCUUUGAGAUGGUUUGGAACGAUAGCGUUGAUUGGAAGAGAGGCGAGGGGCCGGGCGGGGCUUAGCGAACAGGGCACGCCCCCUCCAGCCAGGCAAAUAUAAUUGGCACGGCCCGGUGUCAAAAGUUGUCAACGUGCCUUGGGCCAAUCGAAAGCGGAUGCCCGGCGGGUGGGCGGGACUUAAAAACCGAAGGCAGGAGGCGGGAGUUUUAAUUUGUUGUCGAAGGUUUUCGUGGCCGGAAUCGCCCGGUGGCGCAGUCGGGUAAACCCUUGUACCGGCAGAACUGCUGACCUGAAGGUUGGGGUUGCUGACCUGAAGGUUGCCGGUUCGAAUCCAGCUCGAGGAGAAUGUGGAUGAGCUCCCUCUAUCAGCUCCAGCUCCAUGUGGGGACAUGAGAGAAGCCUCCCACAGGGAUGGUGAAAACAUCAAAACAUCCGGGCGUCCAUGCAGACGGGCAAUUCUCUCACACCAGAAGCGACUUGCAGAUUCUCAAGUUGCUCCUGACACGAAAAAAAAAAACCUGAGUUGCUGUGAGUUUUCCGGGCUGUAUGGCCAUGUUACAGAAGCAUUCUCUUCGGACCUAUCGCCCAGAUCUAUGGUUACCAAAUUACUGGAGCCCCCAUUGGCGCAGUGAGUUAAACCGCUGAGCUGCUGAACUUGCAGAAUGAAAGGACACCAUUUCGAAUUCGGGGAGCAGAGUGAGCUCCCGCUGUUAGCCCCAACUUCUGCCAACCUAGCAGUUUGAAAACAUGCAAAUGAUUCGGCUGCUCGCUAAAGGAGCAGGCUGAGAGUCCAGUGCCUGGUGCACCCCGCUACCUUGAAGACUAGAUCAACAUGCAAAUUUGGCUUGAAAGCAACAGGAUCAGAGGUAUAUUGCUUUCAAGUCUGAAAGAAUGUCUGACACUCAAAAGCAUGCAGUACAGUACACAUUUUAUUUUCUUUGACAGCUAUUCAAAGUCCCUGCACCCUCCCCUGAUUGGCCAGAAACCAGCCCAGUUUCAAUCUGGGCUCCUGUUGGCUGAGGAAUCCUCAUGACAUCAAAGGUGCAUAGAGUUUCCUGUUGUGACUCAGAAUGACUCUGAUGGGGAUUGUGGGGUUCAAGUUCCAGAUGUUUAAGAUGAUGGGAUUCAGGUUCAAGAUGACUCUGAUGGGAAUUAUGGGAUUCAGGUUCAGAGUGUUCCUGCUGUGAGAGAUGAGGAGCGGAGGCAUUCCCACGGCAGGGAAUGGUGUUGAUGAUACUGGAGAUGAUACUGAAGCUAGCCAGGUGCAAAAGGGAGGACAGCUCCCAGUUAGAGAGCAAGCAGACAGAGGCUGCUGCUAACAAGCUGUCUGGCCUUGAGGAAAUGGAAUCUCUGGAUCAAGCUGGCCGUUUGGAAUUUCGGGUUCGCAGGAGUGUUAGAAUAGCAAACAAGAAAGAGGUCAGAGGCCAAAGAAAUGCGUUCAUGCUAUGCAGGGAAUAUUAAAGGGUGUGCUGAGAGAGAAACCUUUGUCAAAAGCAAUGUCUCAUUUGAGUUAGAAGCAGCUCUUGCUCUCUUGGAUUAUCCUACAGCUUUGUGUAUUCAAGUUCAUGGGACUAUGUCAUGUAUUAAUAGAACCUUGUUUUAUGCCUAAUGUUUUCUUGGAUUAAUCUUUAUAGCCUUGGUUUUGCAACAACCUUUUGGAUCUUUACUUUUGCUUUUUAAGAACUAUUUAUUUCCUAUUUCCUAAUAAACUACAAAAAACUUCAA
Long non-coding RNA from Anolis carolinensis (green anole), 1742 nucleotides. RefSeq lists it as uncharacterized. The transcript has 3 exons. The record is from RefSeq and is a predicted model, not a curated record. Lineage: Eukaryota; Metazoa; Chordata; Lepidosauria; Squamata; Anolidae.